AUGCUGGUUUCUGUCACCCUCCUCCUUGCCUCCCUGUUCCCUGCAGGCCAGACAGAGGUCACUAUGGACAAGCCAAUGGUCUCCAUCACCAAACGGACUGGAACAUUAGCAUCAUUUUUCUGUGAGUUUUCCAAAGAAGGCAUCAGCUACAUCCACUGGUAUCUCCAGCAGCCUGGGAAGGCUCCCCAGCGCCUGCUCUACUGUAACACAGCCACAUCUCAACCCACGCUGGAUGCAGGAUUCAGCGCCAGUAAAUUUUCUACUUUCAAGAGCAAUGAUCCAAGCUGUACCCUGAAAGUACGGAAAGUGAGCAUUAGUGAAGCCGGCAUCUAUUACUGUGCCAGCUGGGACUCCACAGCUCCUUGGCAAGCUAAGCUUGGCCCCAGUUUGUUUUUUGGAGCAAACAGGUCCAUCCUGCAGCUCUUCAGUCACAAGAAGCCCAGCCAAUCAGCAGAGUGA
Molecule: non-coding RNA, 459 nt
Organism: Tachyglossus aculeatus (Australian echidna)
Lineage: Eukaryota; Metazoa; Chordata; Mammalia; Monotremata; Tachyglossidae
Source: the annotation of a RefSeq genome assembly